UAGUUUAUAUUUAUUUAUUCUUAUGCAUUGACUAGGAAUCGUUCUGUGUAUUUUUUUGCAUAUUGAUAUUUGAGUAUUUGUCGCUUGCCAUUUUUUCUUUUAAAAUGUGUCAUUUAUUAUUCUGCGACAAUUACAACUAGAUUUACUCAGGUAGCCACAGCUUAGAUAAACAUGAACGAUACUGGUGUUUUGCUUGUCCAUGCUAUACUAUGACUGUGGCUUUCUUCUAUUCUUUAUUUUUCAGUUUGAUACCAAUUAUCAGAAGCGAUAGUACUUGCUUAUUGCCAAAGUACUGCAUCCAGUUGCUUAUAUUUUUGCUUUUAAGUUAAUGAAAGGCAUGUGUUUGAGUAAUCCUUCUGUAAAAGGGAUAGUUCUUCAUGACUAGUUUAUGGGAUGAAUAUCUAUGACAUGAUUUGAUUGUAUUAUCACGGGCUAUAUAUUUGAUGUGUUGUUUCAUUGCAUGAUUCAUCACAUUUUUGGUUGAAUUUUCAGGUUACUAUCCCUGUUUCCUCACAUCGAUUUUCAUUUCUGUUGCCGCUUAGCUUAAUUGCACUGCUUUCUGCACUGAUCUAUGUGUUUUACUUUAUGUAUUAGCUUUUCUUUCUUUUUUUUUUCUUUGCAAUUUGCAUAUCAUACCUCCCCACCAUUGGUUUUGGUGUUGCCGGCAUGCUCACAUGUUGGACUGCAUAAAGAACUUAGAAGAACUGAAGAAGUAUGGGGUAUAUGUGAGUUUUUCACAAAAUAAGGGGGUGUUGAAUUAGUGAAUUACCAUUUAAGUUUUACCCACUUUAAUUUGAGAAUAGGUUUGUGACUGACCUUGUGACUGAGCUUCUUUUCAAGUAAUCAAUGAGAAUCUAUUCUCAUUAGUACUAGUUUGUCAUAUGCUAAAUGCUGAUGCACUGAUCACUUAUUCUAUGCAUAGAAUAGAUUAUCACUUGCUAACAAAUCUAUGGUCCCCCCUCCUUUUUUUUGGGUCUAAUAAUGCUUGUUGACUAUGAAUUGUGUUCAUUGCUUUAUGCCAUAUUUAUCACUUCACUUCUUUUUUUCUCUGAUUCUUUUUAAACCUUAGGUACUGAUUAGUUUAAUUAAUAUAUAAGGUUGUAAAUUGUAGUUAAUAAUCAUCAUAUCCAUUACUGUUAUAUUUAUGUCACUAUUAUGUGAGAAUUUGCAGCUUCUAAUGAUUUCUUGAAUUUGGUUGCUGUUGAUAGGGAAGAAAGUAAAUUAUUUCGAUUCAGAUAAAGACUCGAUCACCUAGUUGAUGGACCAGGUCGGUCAAGCAAGUUGACGGCCACAACCUACAAAGUUAGUUAGCUGCCAUUUCCGAAGCAAAAAAGAAAACACAAGUGGUGUGCGGUCCCUGAACAAGAUAGUGUUAUAGGAAUUGGCAUCACUGUAACUGUUGUGGGACUCAGUUGGUGGCUUUGUUGCACCAUUAGCCUAGAAGAAUUGAGUAUAUUUUGGCUUUUUUUUUUAUUUUUUGCAAAAUGUAUUAAAA
Molecule: non-coding RNA, 1495 nt
Organism: Arachis ipaensis
Lineage: Eukaryota; Viridiplantae; Streptophyta; Magnoliopsida; Fabales; Fabaceae
Source: RefSeq, a predicted model, not a curated record